CUGGAAACAGCCACUCGUGGCGGCGUUGGUACACCGAAUAUCCCUGCACAAACCUCAACGGCACAACGGCAUUAUCAGACGACCGAAGUUCUUCCUGCUCCAAAGGUAACCUAUCGUCAGCUACCUGGCCCGGAGUGGAGCGGACCUGUGCCACUAAUCACCUGGGGGCGCGGUUACGCAGCUGUAUCAACACCAAGCGGCCCGCUCUGGGUACCUGCACGAUACGUUCGACCAUACAAGGAUGGCGUGGCAUCAGGGACUGAGCAACCCCAUCCCUGACUUCAACAUACACUUAUAUGAUGAACAAGGAAAAGUGACAACGGGCCGAAAACGAGGGGGCCAACGAAAUGCACCUGCCACAUGGGGCCAAGUAAAGAACCUAGCUAAUCAGGCUGAACAACUGUUGGAAAAAACAGGACAAGAGAAAACGGCAGAGAACUAUAUGAUGGCAUUAAUAGCCUCCUUAAAUGCCAAUUCUGUACUUUUGUUAACAAUAAUUAUUUUCAGUUUAACUACUGUCCCUACGGAAGGGGGGCCGAUAGUGACUGG
Long non-coding RNA from Mauremys mutica (yellowpond turtle), 549 nucleotides. RefSeq lists it as uncharacterized. The record is from RefSeq and is a predicted model, not a curated record. The transcript is spliced from 3 exons. NCBI's taxonomy places the organism in Eukaryota, Metazoa, Chordata, Testudines, Geoemydidae.